RNAcentral lists this long non-coding RNA (1098 nucleotides) under Oryctolagus cuniculus (rabbit). Its description in RNAcentral is "lncRNA (ENSOCUG00000031458.1)". Lineage: Eukaryota; Metazoa; Chordata; Mammalia; Lagomorpha; Leporidae. The record is from RNAcentral.
CUACCUCUCCAUGAAGUUUUUGAAGCCCCUUCAAAUAAUUUCUAAGAUUUUAAGGUAAGCAGAGAUGAGUGCUCAAUUUUCAGAAAGAGACUUUGGUGGCAUGAGAUGUAAAAACAGUUUCUGUGUGGAUAACACAGUGCCUGCUUGAUGUGACUAGAACUCUUUAUCUCCUACAGGUUGCAUUUUUUCCUUUCCAGACAGGAGACUCCACUUAAGUGGUUCCAAGAAUUCCUGUCUGCAAAAUCGUCCCUUUGGAUGGAAUUCUGUAGAAGCACUCUCCCCUUUUAUAAACACCCAGAUGUCAUAGCACAAAUGCUCACAUGGAGUUAUGUCUCUUACCUAAAGUCUCCAGCCUUCUUUCAAGAACUUCAGCGUGUUAAAUAAAAUUCACACAAACCUUGGGAAUCAGAAAAUCCUACUGAACUCUCUCUUAAGGCCAUUGAUUUCAGUGUCUUCUAUCUUGAUGUGGCAAAGGGCAGAUGAAGGGAUACUGUGUGUUGACUCCUCCACGCUGAUUCACAGUGCCCCAUCACAUUUAUCAAUUCUUUAAUCCCAGGAUAAGUGUGAGAAUUAUCAGAAGGGUUAUAAUUGAAUGUGGCUGUGGAGAAAUUCUUCUGAUGGUGAGACAGUUUCAUUGGGAAUAAUUAAGAAGUUAACUUCUUAAUUAAGAAGUUACACUUCAAGGCUCCUCUCAACUCAGACAAUUUCUCAGACUUUCUUUGUUUUUGACAACUUUUACAGUUUAAGGAGUCCUGGGAGGAUGUUUCAUAGAAUGUCCCUUACUUUGGGUUAGUCUGAUGAUUUUCUCACAAUAGUCAGAGGUUGCAGGUUGUUAGGAGAAAGAAUACAGAGGUAAAGUAUCAUUUUCAUCACAUCAUAUCAAAGAGUCCAUGCCUUUACUAUAUUUAUCAUUGAUGAUACAAACUUUGAACACAUGGCCGAGGUAGUCUUCAUUAUGUUUCUCCAGGGUUUUCUCCCUCCAGUUCCAUAUUGUACCCUUUAGGAGGAGACCAUUAUUCACAGCUCCUAAGAAUUUGGAGCUAUGCUUCAUGUGCUUGAGGGGGGAAACUCUAUAUUAUUUGAAAUUCUUUUGUAUGU